UAGUCCUACGGGACGCAGCAGUAGGGAAUAUUGCACAAUGGGGGAAAGCCUGAUGCAGCGACGCCGCGUGAGUGAAGAAGUAUUUCGGUAUGUAAAGCUCUCUCAUCAGGGAAGAUAAUGACGGUACCUGAUUAAGAAGCCCCGGCUAACUACGUGCCAGCAGCCGCGGUAAUACGUAGGUGGCAAGCGUUAUCCGGAUUUACUGGGUGUAAAGGGAUCGUAGACGGCAUGGCAAGUCU
This 239-nucleotide ribosomal RNA is filed under the name uncultured bacterium. RNAcentral's name for it is "partial 16S ribosomal RNA". It matches the Rfam family "Bacterial small subunit ribosomal RNA", at positions 334 to 590 of the family's 1533-position model. The record is from RNAcentral.